CGGGGUGCACCAGGCGCGAAAACUUUACAAUGCCGGCAACGGCGAUAAGGGAACCUCGAGUGCCAGGUUACAAAUCUGGCUGUCGUGAUGCCUAAAAAGCAUUGCAUAGCAAGGGCCGGGCAAGACCGGUGCCAGCCGCCGCGGUAACACCGGCGGCUCGAGUGGUAACCGUUAUUAUUGGGUCUAAAGGGUCUGUAGCCGGCCGGGUAAGUCUCUUGGGAAAUCUGGCAGCUUAACUGUCAGGCUUUCAGGAGAUACUGCCUGGCUCGAGGCCGGGAGAGGUGAGAGGUACUUCAGGGGUAGGGGUGAAAUCUUGUAAUCCUUGAAGGACCACCAGUGGCGAAGGCGUCUCACCAGAACGGACCUGACGGCAAGGGACGAAAGCUAGGGGCACGAACCGGAUUAGAUACCCGGGUAGUCCUAGCCGUAAACGAUACUCGCUAGGUGUCGGCCACGGUGCGACCGUGGUCGGUGCCGUAGGGAAGCCGUGAAGCGAGCCACCUGGGAAGUACGGCCGCAAGGCUGAAACUUAAAGGAAUUGGCGG
Molecule: ribosomal RNA, 545 nt
Filed under: uncultured archaeon
Lineage: Archaea
Description: bacterial SSU rRNA
Rfam family: Archaeal small subunit ribosomal RNA
Source: RNAcentral